AGAGUGGCGGACGGGUGAGUAACGCGUAGGAAUCUGCCCAGUAGUGGGGGACAACUCGGGGAAACCCGAGCUAACACCGCAUACGCCCUACGGGGGAAAGGGGGCCUCUUCUUGAAAGCUCUCGCUAUUGGAUGAGCCUGCGUCGGAUUAGCUAGUUGGUGGGGUAAAGGCCCACCAAGGCGACGAUCCGUAGCUGGUCUGAGAGGACGACCAGCCACACUGGGACUGAGACACGGCCCAG
Molecule: ribosomal RNA, 241 nt
Filed under: uncultured bacterium
Lineage: Bacteria
Description: partial 16S ribosomal RNA
Rfam family: Bacterial small subunit ribosomal RNA
Source: RNAcentral